Long non-coding RNA from Pogoniulus pusillus (Red-fronted tinkerbird), 308 nucleotides. RefSeq lists it as uncharacterized. The record is from RefSeq and is a predicted model, not a curated record. Lineage: Eukaryota; Metazoa; Chordata; Aves; Piciformes; Lybiidae. The transcript has 3 exons.
CAUCAUGACAGGCAGUCAACUGUUUUAAACAGUUGUUAUUUAAGUUCCUAAUAAUCUCUUUUGUAUGUGCCUAGAUGUACCAGACUCUUGGAGAGACUACAGGUAGCUCAGCAGCUUGGUGUUUUCUUAUGUGUAAGGUGUUGUGAAGAGACAAGAUCACUACACUGGAAUUUGACAGAGCUACGUGGGGUGUAUUAACAGACAAAGCAAGGUUCUGCUAAUGCAGUUCCCUGGAAGAACAAGACAGCUACAAAAUGUAAAGAUCUAGGUAAAUCCUGGCAUUAAAUCUGCUGCAAAAUACAUGAAAG